RNAcentral lists this ribosomal RNA (1482 nucleotides) under metagenome. RNAcentral describes it as "bacterial SSU rRNA". It matches the Rfam family "Bacterial small subunit ribosomal RNA". The record is from RNAcentral.
GUUUGAUCAUGGCUCAGAUUGAACGCUGGCGGCAGGCUUAACACAUGCAAGUCGAGCGAGAAAGGUUUUCGGACUGAGUAGAGCGGCGGACGGGUGAGUAACGCGUAGGAACCUACCUGCUAGAGGGGGAUAACUUGGGGAAACUCAAGCUAAUACCGCAUAAUCCCUACGGGGUAAAGGGGGCUUUUAGCUCUUGCUAGCAGAGGGGCCUGCGUUAGAUUAGCUAGUUGGUGGGGUAAAGGCUUACCAAGGCGACGAUCUAUAGCUGGUCUGAGAGGAUGAUCAGCCACACUGGGACUGAGACACGGCCCAGACUCCUACGGGAGGCAGCAGUGGGGAAUAUUGCGCAAUGGGGGGAACCCUGACGCAGCCAUGCCGCGUGUGUGAAGAAGGCCUUCGGGUUGUAAAGCACUUUAAGUUGUGAGGAAAGGUUGACGGUUAAUACCCAUUAGCUGUGACGUUAGCAACAGAAUAAGCACCGGCUAACUCCGUGCCAGCAGCCGCGGUAAUACGGAGGGUGCAAGCGUUAAUCGGAAUUACUGGGCGUAAAGCGCGCGUAGGCGGAUAAUUAAGUCGGAUGUGAAAGCCCUGGGCUCAACCUAGGAACUGCACCCGAUACUGGUUAUCUUGAGUACGAGAGAGGGAGGUAGAAUUUCUAGUGUAGCGGUGAAAUGCGUAGAUAUUAGAAGGAAUACCGGUGGCGAAGGCGGCCUCCUGGCUCGAUACUGACGCUGAGGUGCGAAAGCGUGGGUAGCAAACAGGAUUAGAUACCCUGGUAGUCCAUGCUGUAAACGAUGUCGACUAGCCGUUGGUCUCCAUGAGGGAUUAGUGGCGCAGCUAACGCGAUAAGUCGACCGCCUGGGGAGUACGGUCGCAAGAUUAAAACUCAAAUGAAUUGACGGGGGCCCGCACAAGCGGUGGAGCAUGUGGUUUAAUUCGAUGCAACGCGAAGAACCUUACCAAGACUUGACAUCCUCGGAACUUAGCAGAGAUGCUUUGGUGCCUUCGGGAAUCGAGAGACAGGUGCUGCAUGGCUGUCGUCAGCUCGUGUUGUGAAAUGUUGGGUUAAGUCCCGUAACGAGCGCAACCCUUGUUCUUAGUUGCCAGCGAUCAGGUCGGGCACUCUAGGAAGACUGCCGGUGACAAACCGGAGGAAGGUAGGGACGACGUCAAGUCAUCAUGGCCCUUACGUCUUGGGCUACACACGUGCUACAAUGGAAGGUACAAAGGGUUGCUAAGCGGCGACGUGGAGCUAAUCCCAUAAAACCUUUCGUAGUCCGGAUUGCAGUCUGCAACUCGACUGCAUGAAGUCGGAAUCGCUAGUAAUCGUGAAUCAGAAUGUCACGGUGAAUACGUUCCCGGGCCUUGUACACACCGCCCGUCACACCAUGGGAGUGGGUUGCAAAAGAAGUGGCUAGUCUAACCAUUGGAGGACGGUCACCACUUUGUGAUUCAUGACUGGGGUGAAGUCGAAACAAGGUA